CACGGCACCGGCCAGACAGCCUGUCACGCCCCCGUUGCCCGAGGCCACUACCUAUUUGGUUCGGCUCGGGUGCGGUGAGCGGACCGCCGAACGGACAGAGUCUCCCCUGUCCGCCCAAGGCUCAAACAGCGAGAUUGUGUACAACAAGUUCCCAGGAAAAUAACUUGAAUACAUACACAAUCAAUCAACAACAAUUUGAGCACGAACAGUGCUAAACAAUGCGAGAGCAAGCAUCACAAGUAGUAAGUCAAACAAGUGAACAAAAGAGAGAGAAAUACUUAACUAUUCUAUUACAACCAUCCAAAUUAACAUUUAGUUACAACUUCACUUUCUUUCUCCAAAAUGUAAAUACAUUCAAGUCUCUCAAACCUCACCCUAUACAAUAUCUACUCUCAAAACAUAAGUACAGGGUAAUGCCAAAUGCAGAGGAGGUAAACUAACUACUGACUCCACUAGGGCGCUACGCCCUUACCACGAUCCUCACGCUCGCCGGGGCUACCCGAACUCGGACCUGCAACACCGUGGGAGUGAGAACUACGAAUAGUUCCCAGUGGGUUCGGCCGCCGACUUCGCCGAUCUUCCCACUAGGUCUUAAGCAGGCAUAGAGAGAUAUAUGCAGAUAGAUAUAUAAUUGCGGAAAUAAAAGCAUCUAUAGCAAGCUACAGACAUAUAUAUAUAUGAUGACAUCAAGCUAUGCCUCAAUCUGCAAGUAUGCAUGCAUGCUUCAUAAGGUAAAUGCUAGGUAACCAAGCUACUAUGUACAAUAAUAAAUGUGACUUGAUAGAUUACCCAAUCUCUCGGCGAACUCGAAGUUCGCUCUCAAUCUCACGUGUGUGAGUCUCAUAGGGAAGGAGUCCAGACUCGACUAUCCCCGAGACCGCCUGCGGACAAGUACGUUAGUCCUACCUGUGACAACUUCCGGAGUGCACGACUUGUGGGGGAUGCCCCAAACAAGCAUAACAGGCCAUGUGAGCUCGAUCCAAUCUCAUGAACUAGAAACAUACUACCAACUAGGGUUGGCGUCAUUAUAGAAUCAGGUAUUCUAUUACUCAAUCUCUUAGUGUUCGACUACACCAAAGUUCUCAGGUUCAAUGCUAGCUAGAUGCCACUCGUUCUGGGUUCUUUGUUCACUAGAUGCCACCCGUUCUCAUUACACUAGUUUACAAUACCCUAGAUUCUCAUUCACAUAACCUAUUCCUCUCAUUAUAGGGCUCAAGUCACCCAACACUAUAUUAAGCAUACUAGGUUCAGGUAAUAAGCAACUGGACUCUAUUCCACUCAACUAGCAUGCAAAGUGUGUAACAAUUACAUUUAGCACCCUAUAAUGCAAUAAUGCAAUAUGCAAAUAAGUCAACUUAGCACUUAGACAUAGAAAGCAGCUCGACUGCUUCGGGAUGGCACUCCCCCACCUUUUGGUAGUGCCGUGUAGCUAGCCAACUCGUCGUCGCGAUCCUCGCACGUCGCUUCGGCUCCUCGGGCCAAAACGGACUCUCUAGUAUUUGAUUUGGCGAUAACUCCGCACUCGCUCACAGUUGCAAGUGUUAUUGGUUUUAGCCUGUUUGUAAUCUGAUGAGCCAACGCGGGAUUGUCAUAUUGAAACGUUGCUCAUGAAAAAGAGUAAGUUGGCUUGUUACUCAUUUUCGAUUAAUAUAACAAGAUAAUACGGUGUUCUCACAUUUAAACCUUGCUUAGCUACAGUUGCAAGUGUUCUUGGUUUUAGCCUUGUUGUAAUCUGAUGAGUCAACGCGGGAUUGUCAUAUUCAAAUGUUGCUCAUGAAAAAGAGGAAGUUGGCUUGUUUCUCAUUUUGGAUUAAUAUAACAAGAUAAUACGGUGUUCUCACAUUUAAACGUUACAUAGUUACAGUUGGAAAUGUUCUUGGUUUUGACCUGUUUGUAAUCUGAUGAGUCAACGCGGGUUUGUCUUAUUGAAACGUUGCUCAUGAAAAAGAGUAAGUUGACUUGUUUCUCAUUUUGGGUUAAUAUAACAAGAUAAUACGGGGAACUCACAUUUAAACGUUAAAUAGCUUCAGUUGCGAGUGUUCUUGGUUCUGGCUUUGUUGUAAUCUGACAAGUCAACGUGAGAUUGUCAUGUUGAAACGUUUGUCAUGAAAAAGAGUAAAUUAGCUUAUUUCUCAGUUUGGAUUAAUAUAACAAGAUAAUACGGGGUUCUCAAAUUUAAACGUUGCAUAGCUACAGUUGCAAGUGUUCUUGGUUUUGGCCUUGUUGGAAUCUGAUGAGUCAACGGCGGAUUGUCAUAUUGAAACGUUGCUCGUGAAAUAGAGUAAGUUGGCUUGUUUCUAAUUUUGGAUUAAUAUAACAAGAUAAUUCGGGGCUCUCACAUUUAAACGUUACAUAGUUACAGUUGUAAGUGUUAUUGGUUUUGACCUGUUUGUAAUCUGACGAGUCAACGCGGGAUGGUCAUAUUGAAGCGUUUUUCAAGAAAAAGAGUAAGUUAGCUUGUUUCUCAUUUUAGAUAAAUAUAAUAAGAUAAUACGGGGCUCUCACAUUUAAACGUUGCAUAGCUACAGUUGCAAGUGUUCUUGGUUUUGGCCUUGUUGUAAUCUGAUAAGUCAACGCGGGCUUGCCACAAUGAAACGUUGCUCAUGAAAACGAGUAAGUUGCUUUGUUUCUCAUUUUGGAUUAAUAUAACAAGAUAAUACGGGGCUCUCACAUUUAAACGUUGCAUAGCUACAGUUGCAAGUGUUUUUGGUUUUAGCCUUGUUGUAAUCUGAAGAGCCAACGCGGGAUUGUCAUGUUGAAAAGUUGCUCAUGAAAAAGAGGAAGUUGGCUUGUUUCCCAUUUUGGGUUAAUAUAACCAGAUAAUAACAUUCCUUCACUUAGGAGCUUCAGGCUCCUAACCUGAAGUAAAUCUUAGCUGAUUAACAGCUCAACCACACGAAGCCUUUCAGGCUCUUGUAGUUUUUGUAGUGUUCACGUAAUUCCUGCCUGGGCGCUCUCGAACCUCACUUUAGACGAACUCUUCGUCUAAAGUACGAGAGCCCCUGGCCAGGGAGUCCCACUCCUGGCCAGGGGCAUCGGGUCAAAAGUCUCUUUCGAGAGCCCCUGGCCAUGGAGUCACACCCCUGGCCAAGGGCAUGCGCGUCUAAAACCCGUCGAGAGCCCCUGGCCAGAGAGGGGAGCUCCCCUGGCCAGGGGCAUACGCUUUUCACGGGUCGUUCCCGAAAAAGUCUUUAACCUUUCAACUCCCCCGACUAACGUUUAAUCGGAAAUAUUUCCGAACCCCUGGAGAGAGAGAGAGAAUAAGGGAAUAAAGAGAGGGAGAGGGUGUGAGUAUAACGAGAGAGAGAGAGAUCCUCGUUCUCUUUCUCUUCUUCUUUCUACUCCUCUCCUUCCUCUUCUUCAUCUUCUUCUUCUUCUGUUUCCACCACUAGCAGAAGGAGUAGAAGAAGGAGAACAACCUCACCCGAAAACUUCCACUCGAAGAUUGGGAUAUUACCACUUAGGGCAAAUUAACCCAAAAUCCCAAAUCUUAACCAAGAUUACCUUGGUUCCCCUCGAUUCCUCUACCAAGAUUGAGCUUAAUCUCCGAGCUUGGCGCCUAAAGAGGUGAUAACGUUAGAUCCCGGGGCUAAACCCUAAAAUCGUUUAGAUCCCAAAACUAGAACAAACUACCCAGUGAUUGGAUUAACGAUACAGGGGCUUGCGCAUCCGCUUCUGCCAAGCAGCUAGGCUGNNNNNCCGACUCCGCCGAUCUCCCCACUAGGUCCAAGCGGGCAAAAGUAGAUAAUCGAUAGAUAGAUAGAUAAGGAAAGCGGUAAAUGACAGAAGUAAAGCUACACUACUAUGCCCAAUCAUAAAUAUAUGAAUGCAUGUACAAUGAAAUAGAUAAACAACUAACCCAUUAUCAUGUCCAAAGGUAAAGCUAUUUACUCGUUCAUCGAUCUCAUUUACUUGUUUCUUAAUCUCGUGGCUUCCCUGAAGGAGCCUACUGCUCACUAGCCAUCUCGAAGGUAGGGAGGGUCAACUCGCACUACGAACCGAGACCGUCUGCCGGGACCCAAAAUAGGCGAUCCCUUGGAACCCAAAAUAGGCGAUCCCACGUGACCAACUCCGGAGCGCACUACUUGUGUGGGGCUUCCAUCACAAGAUUUAAAAACAGACCGUGAGCAUGAUCCAAUCCUCGUCUCGAGAAUACCCUAUGCUUUAGGGGUUACAAUCAUCAUAUAGUCCGUAGGUUUCAUAUACUCUACGACUCAUUGUUCUUUUGCUUAUUAUCAACUAAAUGCCACUCGUUCAUGGUUUACUAUCAACUAGAUGCCACUCGUUCUUUGUUUAACAUUAAAUCAACCAUUGAGCCCAUCUUUUUCUCUGCACUAUAGGAUUCACAAGUCUCGACCCAAUCCUUAUCAAUCCACUAUAUCAAGUAUCCCAUACAUGCUACGAUAUCAUCAAGGAAAGCAUAAGGAAAGGCAAUGCACAAUCAUCCUAUAAUGCAAUAACACAAGAUGCAAGAAUCGAAAUGUACUAAGACAUAGAAGGGGGCCCGGUUGCUUCGGGAUGGACACCACCCACCUUUUGAUAACGCCGCAAGGUUAGCAAGCUUGACUUUGCGGUCUUCGCACGUCGCCUCGGCUCCUCGGCCAAAAUUGUAAGGUACCGGACUUCUAAAAUUAUGAAGCUACGGUGUACAUUUGAUUGGAAAGCCAUUUGAAUGGUUCCGGUGAGGUUGCGGUGGAAUGUAACAUACCGGAUAUUAAAUAUAAAAGUGGAAAUAAAUAAAAAUAGUAUGAGAUACUAUUUUUAUUGGAUUUAGAGAAGUGAAAUAUAGGUUGGGAAUGACCUGUGCUGAAAUCGGAGCGAAAACAGAAGAUUUAGAAUUUUCUGUGAGAAACGGGGCAGAUAAAUUAGCAGAAAAUGCACAGUGUCAGAAAAUUAUGAAAACUGGAG
This 4908-nucleotide long non-coding RNA is filed under the name Ananas comosus (pineapple). RNAcentral's name for it is "long non-coding RNA (ACOM_LNC044887)". Lineage: Eukaryota; Viridiplantae; Streptophyta; Magnoliopsida; Poales; Bromeliaceae. The record is from RNAcentral.